RNAcentral lists this ribosomal RNA (477 nucleotides) under uncultured bacterium. RNAcentral describes it as "partial 16S ribosomal RNA". It matches the Rfam family "Bacterial small subunit ribosomal RNA", at positions 28 to 507 of the family's 1533-position model. The record is from RNAcentral.
GAUUAACGCUGGCGGCGUGCAUAACACAUGCAAGUCGAACGAUGAAACUUAGUAGACUUCUUCGGAAAGACACUAAGCGGAUUAGUGGCGAACGGGUGAGUAACGCGUGAGUAACCUGCCUUACACAAGGGGAUAGCCUUUGGAAACGAAGAAUAAUUCCCUAUAAAACCAUAAAAGCACAUGCUAGAAUGGUCAAAGUGAUAGCGGUGUAAGAUGGACUUGCGUCUGAUUAGCUAGUUGGUGAGAUAAAGGCUCACCAAGGCAACGAUCAGUAGCCGGCUUGAGAGAGUGUACGGCCACAUUGGGACUGAGACACGGCCCAGACUCCUACGGGAGGCAGCAGUGGGGAAUUUUGCACAAUGGGGGAAACCCUGAUGCAGCGACGCCGCGUGAUUUAGAAGGCCUUCGGGUUGUAAAAAUCUUUUGUAUAGGAAGAAAAUGACAGUACUAUACGAAUAAGGUCCGGCUAAUUACGUG